This 372-nucleotide ribosomal RNA is filed under the name uncultured Nitrososphaerota archaeon. RNAcentral describes it as "bacterial SSU rRNA". It matches the Rfam family "Archaeal small subunit ribosomal RNA", at positions 337 to 704 of the family's 1478-position model. Lineage: Archaea; Thermoproteati; Nitrososphaerota. The record is from RNAcentral.
GGACGCGAAAACGUCGUACGAAUGCACGCAAGUGUGAUAGGGCAACCCCGUCGGUGCUCAACUAACGUUGGGCUUUUAUUAUGUGUAAUGUGCAUAAUGAAUAAGUGGUGGGCAAGACCGGUGCCAGCAGCCGCGGUAAUACCGGCGCCACGAGUGGAGUUCACUAUUAUUGGGUCUAAAGUGUCCGUAGCUGGUUUAUUAAGUCUCUUGUGAAAUUUCUGUUGCUUAACUCAGAAACUGCAAGAGAUACUGGUAAACUCGAGACCGGAAGAGGUUAACAAGUAUUGUUUGGGUAGCGGUAAAAAUGCUAUAAUCCUUACAAGACUAACUAAGGCGAAGGCAUGUUACUUGGACGGAUCUGACAGUGAGGGA